Molecule: ribosomal RNA, 427 nt
Filed under: uncultured bacterium
Lineage: Bacteria
Description: partial 16S ribosomal RNA
Rfam family: Bacterial small subunit ribosomal RNA
Source: RNAcentral
UGGGGAAUAUUGGACAAUGGGCGAAAGCCUGAUCCAGCCAUGCCGCGUGUGUGAAGAAGGUCUUCGGAUUGUAAAGCACUUUAAGUUGGGAGGAAGGGCAUUAACCUAAUACGUUAGUGUUUUGACGUUACCGACAGAAUAAGCACCGGCUAACUCUGUGCCAGCAGCCGCGGUAAUACAGAGGGUGCAAGCGUUAAUCGGAAUUACUGGGCGUAAAGCGCGCGUAGGUGGUUUGUUAAGUUGGAUGUGAAAUCCCCGGGCUCAACCUGGGAACUGCAUUCAAAACUGACUGACUAGAGUAUGGUAGAGGGUGGUGGAAUUUCCUGUGUAGCGGUGAAACGCGUAGAUAUAGGAAGGAACACCAGUGGCGAAGGCGACCACCUGGACUAAUACUGACACUGAGGUGCGAAAGCGUGGGGAGCAAACA